Molecule: ribosomal RNA, 253 nt
Filed under: uncultured bacterium
Lineage: Bacteria
Description: partial 16S ribosomal RNA
Rfam family: Bacterial small subunit ribosomal RNA
Source: RNAcentral
UACGUAGGGUGCAAGCGUUGUCCGGAAUUAUUGGGCGUAAAGAGCUUGUAGGCGGUUUGUCGCGUCUGCUGUGAAAUUUCGGGGCUCAACCCCGAACUUGCAGUGGGUACGGGCAGACUAGAGUUCGGUAGGGGAGACUGGAAUUCCUGGUGUAGCGGUGAAAUGCGCAGAUAUCAGGAGGAACACCGGUGGCGAAGGCGGGUCUCUGGGCCGUAACUGACGCUGAGGAGCGAAAGCGUGGGGAGCGAACAGG